AUGUCUCUGUGACAAUAAAUUUGUUUUUGUUUUCUUAACGUUCAUCAAUUACAGGUUUUCUAUACUGUUUAUCUCGCUUGUUGCAAAAACAUACCAAUUUACCUCGCCGUUGAAAUGGACGACGCUGAAUUAGAGUCUCAGGUCCACAGAUAUUUAAAUAUGUUCACACAUUGUUAUUAUUUUGCAUAGUUUUUCUUGCAAAUAUUUUAUUUAUUAGAUCUCGGUUUCCUGGUUCGAGAAAUCGCAGAUAAAGUUAAUAUGCCCUACAAAAGACUUUGGAAAUUUAUGGCAAGAAGGUGUAUAAGUGUCAGAACUAUGUACAGCACAAUGUCUUUGGAAGUUCUUCAACUACCCGUAUACCAGAUCUGCACUGAGAACCAAAGGCUUGUGACCUGCGAUUUCUCGAACCUGGAAACCGAGAUCUAAAUAAAUGCUAAUGCACUGCAGAAUGACAAUGCGAGAUGGAGUUUUUACCCAAACUGGUGCACAUAAUCAUGAUGCUUAGUUUGGAGAACAAAAUCGGGCAGCUGCAGUGAAUGAGUGUUUAAAUGUAGCACGUCCCUCGAAUGGGACGGCAAGGACCAAAGAGGAUUCUCGAGAUGGCUCGCUCUGUGCAUCUUGAAGCCAGAAUUGCUUUAAGUCCAGCGCUAGAGCGAAGGAUUCAGCGGGAGAAGAGAAGCAACCAGCCACUUCCACUUGUAUCGAUCGACGAUAUGAUGGAGUCCAUGGAAUUUCACCCUGUUUUCAAAGAAACCAUCCGUGGUGACCUUUUCUUCCAUGGGACUGUCCGUUCUGAUGAAGACGACGACGUUCCGGAAGUUGGCUUAAUUUUCGUUUCCCUUCUGCUUCUUGGUCAACUUGGAGAAGCGACUUCCAUGCACCUUGAUGGCACUUUUCAUACGGUGCCAGCGUUGUUUUAUCAACUACUGACAAUUCACGUGAUAGCCUAUAAUAAGAAAGACCCGUGAUCUUUACACUUCGAUUCGAAGAUCGCUUCCCUGAAAAGCCAAUCGCAAUCUAUGACAUCGUCACCGAUUUUGAACUUGCCUUGAUGGGAGCAGUUUCCGAUGUCAUGGAUGUGGAAUCAAGAGGCUGUUGGUUCCAUUACGGCCAGGCCAUCAUAAGAAAGUCAGGGAUGCUGCAUCUCAACCGGGACUAUCGGAGGAGGGGGUGCGGUAGCCCAUAUUAUACAGGAGAUAAUCGGCCUUGCCCUCUUGUUGGCAGAAAAAAUCAAUGAGGGAUUUGAGGACAUACGGCGAUCCCAUCGUCGUCAUUUGGCUCUCGAAUCUCGGGAGACUAAUCAGGCAAUGAAUUCUUUACACACAUAUUGGACUGGAUAUUGGCUUGGCACUGUCACUCCAGAACGAUUUAGCUGCCAUGGAAAAGAAAAUCGUACAAAUUAUUUCGUUGAGUCAUGGCACAGAUGGUUCAACAAACGCUGUGUCCAUUCCCAUCUCAACGUCUGGGAUUUUCUCGAUGAAUUAAAAGAAGCCGAAGAGUCUGAGUCCCGUGAUUUCUUAACGGCUGAGAACGGUGACCCGAUUGGUCGUGGGUCAACACCAGCCCAGAGGGAAAAAAAACCGGAAAAUCGCAAGAAAUUCGUCCCUCCUUGAAGAUGGUUAUUUAACUAUCCGCGAAUUUCUCGAGCGGACUAGGAAAACAUUUAGUGUUCCAUUACCUGCUGACGACGAAGCCGUGGAAGACGAGCUCAACGCAGAGGAGGCCCCCGAAGAUAUACAAGGUGAUGUCUCUAAUGGGGAUAUUCCAGAUAUUCCUUACGGUCGCGGUCGACAACGAUUCCGUGCAGGUGUGCGCCUCACUGACCGUCAACGCAGAGCAAUCGAGCAGCAGCACGGCAUAACCGUCGUGAAAUUUUGGAAAAUCUGCCUGCGCGGAAUGAAACCCCCCCCCCCACCAGGCCCCCCAACUCCGGGUUCUCCUCCACCGCAUCCGGUGAAACCUCCAACGCGCCCAGAUACCCCACUAUUUUCUCUUUGUCCGGUAACCCCGGUGGUGUCCCCGUUUCGCCCAGAGGCCCCAGAAAUACCUCCGGCCCCGGUUACUCCGGACACCAAUUCACCCGCUGACUCCGAAAACUUAUUUUCGCUCGAUGACUCGAUGGCAUAAGAACCAGGGGCUGGUGUUGGGGCGGGGCUAGUG
Long non-coding RNA from Daphnia magna, 2160 nucleotides. RefSeq lists it as uncharacterized. The record is from RefSeq and is a predicted model, not a curated record. The transcript has 6 exons. NCBI's taxonomy places the organism in Eukaryota, Metazoa, Arthropoda, Branchiopoda, Diplostraca, Daphniidae.